AAAACAUGUCUUAUUGAAAAUAAUUUUAAGUCUAAUCUGCCCAAUGAAAAUUUUAAUGGCUGCAGUAUCAAUAACUGUACAAAGGUAGCAUAAUAAUUAGUUUUUUAAUUGAAAACUAGAAUGAAAGAUUAAAUGAAAUAUAAACUUUAUUAAUAAAAUUAAAAUUAAACUUAAAUUUUAAGUUAAAAUUCUUAAAUAUUAUUAAAAGACGAGAAGACCCUUUAGAAUUUUAUAUAAAUUAAAAUUAAAAUUAUAAAUAUUAAUAAUAUAAAUUUUAAUUAAUAUUUAAUUGGGGUAAUUUUUUAAUUUUAUAAACUUUAAAAUAAUAAAACAUUAAUUAAUGAACUUAUAAACCUAAAAUUUAGAAUUUUAAAAUAAAUUACCUUAGGGAUA
Molecule: ribosomal RNA, 393 nt
Filed under: Lysiphlebus fabarum
Lineage: Eukaryota; Metazoa; Arthropoda; Insecta; Hymenoptera; Braconidae
Description: partial 16S ribosomal RNA
Source: RNAcentral